RNAcentral lists this long non-coding RNA (335 nucleotides) under Setaria viridis. RNAcentral's name for it is "long non-coding RNA (SVIR_LNC007346)". Lineage: Eukaryota; Viridiplantae; Streptophyta; Magnoliopsida; Poales; Poaceae. The record is from RNAcentral.
UUUCUAAUUUUCAUUUGCAUAAAUAUACAUUUUAUUACAAUCUUACAAAAUGUGUACACGCCCUACUCGCUACUCAAGGAGUGACCGAACGACUACCAUUUAGCGUUUAGGUGAACAUUGCAUUUUGGACAUCCACAAUAUGUUCAAAAAGCAAUCCAUAAAUAUUAAAAUAUUCCAAUUAGCUAGCUGCAACAUUAUGAAAGUGGUCCAUAUAGUGAUCUUUAGUAAAAAGAUAUACAAAUGCAUAUGGCCUGCCCAUAAAAAAUAAAAUAUCAUUUAUCUCUUCCUUUCUUUCCUUCUCUCCAUUUUAUCUCCUACCUUUACUUCUUCCUUUU